ACGGGUGAGUAACGCGUGGGUAACCUACCCUGUACACACGGAUAACAUACCGAAAGGUAUGCUAAUACGGGAUAAUAUAUUUGAGAGGCAUCUCUUAAAUAUCAAAGGUGAGCCAGUACAGGAUGGACCCGCGUCUGAUUAGUUAGUUGGUAAGGUAACGGCUUACCAAGGCGACGAUCAGUAGCCGACCUGAGAGGGUGAUCGGCCACAUUGGAACUGAGACACGGUCCAAACUCCUACGGGAGGCAGCAGUGGGGAAUAUUGCACAAUGGGCGAAAGCCUGAUGCAGCAACGCCGCGUGAGUGAUGAAGGCCUUCGGGUCGUAAAACUCUGUCCUCAAGGAAGAUAAUGACGGUACUUGAGGAGGAAGCCCCGGCUAACUACGUGCCAGCAGCCGCGGUAAUACGUAGGGGGCUAGCGUUAUCCGGAUUUACUGGGCGUAAAGGGUGCGUAGGCGGUCUUUCAAGUCAGGAGUGAAAGGCUACGGCUCAACCGUAGUAAGCUCUUGAAACUGGGAGACUUGAGUGCAGGAGAGGAGAGUGGAAUUCCUAGUGUAGCGGUGAAAUGCGUAGAUAUUAGGAGGAACACCAGUUGCGAAGGCGGCUCUCUGGACUGUAACUGACGCUGAGGCACGAAAGCGUGGGGAGCAAACAGGAUUAGAUACCCUGGUAGUCCACGCUGUAAACGAUGAGUACUAGGUGUCGGGGGUUACCCCCUUCGGUGCCGCAGCUAACG
Molecule: ribosomal RNA, 735 nt
Filed under: uncultured bacterium
Lineage: Bacteria
Description: bacterial SSU rRNA
Rfam family: Bacterial small subunit ribosomal RNA
Source: RNAcentral